UUAUUGCUAAUGUUAUUUAUGAUGUAAGUUUUCAUCACCUGAGCACAAUCUUUGCUUUUAUCAUAAUUUUUAUUUUUUGGUAAAUAAGUAUGAUGUAAAGAACAUGUAUGAUUUGCUUUUUAUUCAAGGAAUAUUUUUCGUUGGUGUUUCUUGCAGAAAUUUAAAACAAUCUUAAAGGAAAUAUUUGUUAACUCAAUCUUAAAGGAAAUAUUUCUUAACAAUCUUAUUUUAUUUCACUGUUUUACAAAUUAAUCAUGUACAAGUUCUGUUUGCUACUAUACGUAGUGUUGUAGUAGCUGAUGUAGACUUUUGCUCUCUUUACUGUUUGAAUAUCCUUUUCUUUAGUUAAUAAUUUCUUGGAUGGUUAAAAAAAAAGAAUGUGUUUUUAUUGUUUUAUUAUGUUGGCAGAAAAAUCAUCCUAGCAUCAGAACAGUUGUUAAUAAAGUUGGAACCAUUGCAAAUGAGUUCUGAGUGCCAAAGUUUGAAAUUUUGGCUAGAGAAAAUGAUUUGGUCACAGAAAUGAAGCAAUAUGGGGCUAUAUUCAAGCUUGAU
This 552-nucleotide unclassified non-coding RNA is filed under the name Hevea brasiliensis (rubber tree). Lineage: Eukaryota; Viridiplantae; Streptophyta; Magnoliopsida; Malpighiales; Euphorbiaceae. The record is from RNAcentral.